RNAcentral lists this transfer RNA (71 nucleotides) under Sphaerodactylus townsendi. RNAcentral describes it as "tRNA-Ala". It matches the Rfam family "tRNA". Rfam says of the family: Transfer RNA (tRNA) molecules are approximately 80 nucleotides in length. Their secondary structure includes four short double-helical elements and three loops (D, anti-codon, and T loops). The record is from RNAcentral. Lineage: Eukaryota; Metazoa; Chordata; Lepidosauria; Squamata; Sphaerodactylidae.
GGGGUUGUGGCUCAGUGACGGAGCCUCUGCUUGGCACGCAAAGGUCCCAGGUUCCAUUCUUGGCAUCUCCA